Molecule: transfer RNA, 82 nt
Filed under: Gomphonema parvulum
Lineage: Eukaryota; Bacillariophyta; Bacillariophyceae; Cymbellales; Gomphonemataceae
Description: tRNA-Tyr
Rfam family: tRNA
About the family: Transfer RNA (tRNA) molecules are approximately 80 nucleotides in length. Their secondary structure includes four short double-helical elements and three loops (D, anti-codon, and T loops).
Source: RNAcentral
AAGGAAUGGCUGAGCGGUUUAAGGCGGCAGACUGUAAAUCUGUUGAGUGAUCUCAUCGAAGGUUCGAAUCCUUCUUCCUUCA